Molecule: long non-coding RNA, 382 nt
Organism: Chinchilla lanigera (long-tailed chinchilla)
Lineage: Eukaryota; Metazoa; Chordata; Mammalia; Rodentia; Chinchillidae
Exons: 3
Source: RefSeq, a predicted model, not a curated record
CCCAGCUCCGCCCUUCUCCUCUGCUUCCAGCUGCUGUACGAUGAGCAGCUUUCCUCUGCUUGGUCCUUCUGCCGUGCCACCCAGCCAAACAUGGACUGAACCCUCUGAAACCAUAAUCCAACCUCUCUUGUGAGGAGUAUGCUGCGGUUCAAUCUGGCAAUGUAAAAAUAAGGUUUACGGCAGAGUCUUCAGGAAAUUGAGGAAGAGAAACUUUUAGCCAUGAAGACUGUCUCAAGGAGUUGGAGGGCGACCAGGAUGCCAUUUGUGAUGGCAUCUCCCCUUAUGUCACCUAAAAAUAAGUCCUUGCUCCCCAAAUGUAUGCAGGCAUAUCAGGAAGCCAGGAAUGGAACUCACCACCUUGUGCUUCCCAGGCAAGGGCUGU